CAGCGAGUGCGGCGCUCCGAUAUGACGCCACCAACUUGCAGAUGGUCUCGGCGGUCGCCGCGCGAUCUUGGGCCUCGCGAUCACUCAGCGCGCGAAGAGCGGCGCUUUGUUCAUUCUGGAUGGCGAUGCGGGCGCUGUGUUGAAGCGGUCUUGGCAACAUCUCGACGGCGGCCAGUUUUGCGCCAAAGAGCAUGGUGAUCGCGGUGUGCUCCGAACGAUACGAGCUAACCCGAGUGGCCUCCUUGAAUGCGGGCAGCCGC
Molecule: unclassified non-coding RNA, 260 nt
Filed under: Hevea brasiliensis (rubber tree)
Lineage: Eukaryota; Viridiplantae; Streptophyta; Magnoliopsida; Malpighiales; Euphorbiaceae
Source: RNAcentral